UACGUAGGGUGCAAGCGUUGUUCGGAUUUACUGGGCGUAAAGCGCACGUAGGCGGAUUGUUAAGUCAGGGGUGAAAUCCUGGAGCUCAACUCCAGAACUGCCUUUGAUACUGGCAAUCUUGAGUCCGGAAGAGGUGAGUGGAACUCCUAGUGUAGAGGUGGAAUUCGUAGAUAUUAGGAAGAACACCAGUGGCGAAGGCGGCUCACUGGUCCGGUACUGACGCUGAGGUGCGAAAGCGUGGGGAGCAAACAGG
This 253-nucleotide ribosomal RNA is filed under the name uncultured bacterium. Its description in RNAcentral is "partial 16S ribosomal RNA". It matches the Rfam family "Bacterial small subunit ribosomal RNA", at positions 524 to 776 of the family's 1533-position model. The record is from RNAcentral.